RNAcentral lists this ribosomal RNA (618 nucleotides) under Morchella sp. RNAcentral describes it as "partial large subunit ribosomal RNA". It matches the Rfam family "Eukaryotic large subunit ribosomal RNA", at positions 37 to 664 of the family's 3401-position model. Lineage: Eukaryota; Fungi; Ascomycota; Pezizomycetes; Pezizales; Morchellaceae. The record is from RNAcentral.
UGCAUAUCCCAAUAAGCGGAGGAAAAGAAACCAACAGGGAUUGCCUCAGUAACGGCGAGUGAAGCGGCAAAAGCUCAAAUUUUAAAGCUGGCACCCCCGGUGUCCGCGUUGUAAUUUUGUGAGGCAUCUCCGGGUAGGGCGCCGGCCUAAGUUCCUUGGAACAGGACGUCAUAGAGGGUGAGAAUCCCGUGCUUGGCUGGCUGUCCCCGUCCAUGUGAGGUGUCUUCGACGAGUCGAGUUGUUUGGGAAUGCAGCUCAAAAUGGGUGGUAAAUUUCAUCUAAAGCUAAAUAUUGGUGGGAGACCGAUAGCGCACAAGUAGAGUGAUCGAAAGAUGAAAAGCACUUUGAAAAUAGAGUUAAAAAGUACGUGAAAUUGUUGAAAGGGAAGCGCUUGAGACCAGACUUCGGUGGGGAGUGAUCAGCUGUCCUUCUGGGCGGUGCACUUGCUCCCCUCCGGGCCAGCAUCGGUUGGGACGGCGGGAUAAAGGUCCCGGGAAUGUGGCUCCUUUAGGGGAGUGUUAUAGCCCGGGUGAAUGCCGCCAGCCCCGACCGAGGACCGCGCCUUCGGGCUAGGAUGCUUGGCAUAAUGGUCUUCAGCGACCCGUCUUGAAACAACGG